This 465-nucleotide ribosomal RNA is filed under the name uncultured bacterium. Its description in RNAcentral is "partial 16S ribosomal RNA". It matches the Rfam family "Bacterial small subunit ribosomal RNA", at positions 338 to 795 of the family's 1533-position model. The record is from RNAcentral.
CCUACGGGUGGCUGCCGUGGGGAAUAUUGCGCAAUGGGCGAAAGCCUGACGCAGCGACGCCGCGUGCGGGAUGAAGGUCUUCGGAUCGUAAACCUCUGUCAGCAGGGAAGAACGGUCACUGUGCUAAUCAGCAGUGAAUUGACGGUACCUGCAACGGAAGCACCGGCUCACUCCGUGCCAGCAGCCGCGGUAAUACGGAGGGUGCGAGCGUUAAUCGGUAUUACUUGGCGUAAAGCGCUCGUAGGCGGUAUGUCAAGUCAAGGGUGAAAUCCCCGCGCUCAACGGUGGAACUGCCUUUGCUACUGGCAAACUGGAGUGUGUGGGAGGAUAGUGGAAUUCCAGGUGUAGGAGGGAAAUCCGUAGAUAUCUGGAGGAACAUCAGUGGCGAAGGCGACUAUCUGGCACAUAACUGACGCUGAGGAGCGAAAGCGUGGGUAGCAAACAGGAUUAGAUACCCCUGUAGUC